This 1011-nucleotide ribosomal RNA is filed under the name uncultured Microbacterium sp. Its description in RNAcentral is "bacterial SSU rRNA". It matches the Rfam family "Bacterial small subunit ribosomal RNA", at positions 76 to 1099 of the family's 1533-position model. The record is from RNAcentral. Lineage: Bacteria; Bacillati; Actinomycetota; Actinomycetes; Micrococcales; Microbacteriaceae.
GAGCUUGCUCUGUGGGAUCAGUGGCGAACGGGUGAGUAACACGUGAGCAACCUGCCCCUGACUCUGGGAUAAGCGCUGGAAACGGCGUCUAAUACUGGAUAUGUGACGUGACCGCAUGGUCUGCGUCUGGAAAGAAUUUCGGUUGGGGAUGGGCUCGCGGCCUAUCAGCUUGUUGGUGAGGUAAUGGCUCACCAAGGCGUCGACGGGUAGCCGGCCUGAGAGGGUGACCGGCCACACUGGGACUGAGACACGGCCCAGACUCCUACGGGAGGCAGCAGUGGGGAAUAUUGCACAAUGGGCGCAAGCCUGAUGCAGCAACGCCGCGUGAGGGACGACGGCCUUCGGGUUGUAAACCUCUUUUAGCAGGGAAGAAGCGAAAGUGACGGUACCUGCAGAAAAAGCGCCGGCUAACUACGUGCCAGCAGCCGCGGUAAUACGUAGGGCGCAAGCGUUAUCCGGAAUUAUUGGGCGUAAAGAGCUCGUAGGCGGUUUGUCGCGUCUGCUGUGAAAUCCGGAGGCUCAACCUCCGGCCUGCAGUGGGUACGGGCAGACUAGAGUGCGGUAGGGGAGAUUGGAAUUCCUGGUGUAGCGGUGGAAUGCGCAGAUAUCAGGAGGAACACCGAUGGCGAAGGCAGAUCUCUGGGCCGUAACUGACGCUGAGGAGCGAAAGGGUGGGGAGCAAACAGGCUUAGAUACCCUGGUAGUCCACCCCGUAAACGUUGGGAACUAGUUGUGGGGUCCAUUCCACGGAUUCCGUGACGCAGCUAACGCAUUAAGUUCCCCGCCUGGGGAGUACGGCCGCAAGGCUAAAACUCAAAGGAAUUGACGGGGACCCGCACAAGCGGCGGAGCAUGCGGAUUAAUUCGAUGCAACGCGAAGAACCUUACCAAGGCUUGACAUAUACGAGAACGGGCCAGAAAUGGUCAACUCUUUGGACACUCGUAAACAGGUGGUGCAUGGUUGUCGUCAGCUCGUGUCGUGAGAUGUUGGGUUAAGUCCCGCAACGAGCGC